This 26-nucleotide non-coding RNA is filed under the name Rattus norvegicus (Norway rat). Lineage: Eukaryota; Metazoa; Chordata; Mammalia; Rodentia; Muridae. The record is from RNAcentral.
UGAACUAGAUUUGCAUGAUGGCGUCC